AGCAGCCCGAGAUAAAGUGUAAAAAUUUUUUUUAGCUACCCUGAACCAUUCAAUCCUCUUCCACCCUUCUCCUCUCAUGUCCACAUAACCUUCUCGCUCUCUAUCCUUGGAGUGUUUGCAGUGAAACUCUAAGAAUGAACAUGUUCCAUGUCAGCACUGGACCCAGUGCCCAGGCUCUACAUCCUCCAAUCCUCCAUCUCUUUGGGGGCUUAGUGUCCAGGGUAGCUGCAUUAAUAGUUUUGGCAUUCAUCUUCUGUCUUGUUCCUUUGGUAAAACACACCUAAAGGCAAGAAAUCUAGGUGGUCUUUGAUAUCUUUUCUAGAAAGCAUACAUAGAACUGAUCUGAAAUU
Molecule: long non-coding RNA, 350 nt
Filed under: Homo sapiens (human)
Lineage: Eukaryota; Metazoa; Chordata; Mammalia; Primates; Hominidae
Description: non-protein coding lnc-OGFRL1-8:1
Source: RNAcentral